AACACUUUAAACUUGACACCAUUCUGAUUCAGGGAAGCGUUACGGCGUGGUAGGAAAACGAUUAAGAAACGAAUAUUGCAUCAAAAGUUAAAGAUGAGCUACGGUCGCCCACCACCGGAUACCGAUAGUAUGGUAUCUUUGAAAGUUGACAAUCUUACUUACAGAACCACACCCGAAGAUUUACGGAGAGCUUUCCAAAAAUACGGUGAAGUUGGAGAUGUAUACAUUCCCAGAGACAGAUUUACACGAGAAAGUAGAGGGUUUGCUUUUGUUCGAUACUUUGAUAAGCGGGAUGCAGAGGAUGCUUUAGAUGCUAUGGAUGGUACAAUCAUGGAUGGCAGAGAACUACGAGUACAGAUGGCACGAUAUGGCAGGCCCUCUGAACCAUACAGAAGGGGUCCGCCAAGGAGAUAUGGCGGUGGUGGUGGUGGUGGUGGAAGGUACAGGGGAAGGUCAUAUUCUAGGUCUCGUUCACGGUCAAGAUCUAGAGGUCGAAGAAGUCGUAGAUAUUCUAGGAGUAGGAGCAGGUCAUAUGACAGCAAAUCUCGCAGUCGGAGUAGAAGUCGUUCUAGAAGCAGGUCAAAGUCAAAUAGGUCAAGCAGAUCUCCAAGGUCGCAUUCAAGAACACCGGAAAAAAAUUCUCAAGAUAAUGCAGACUGAACCAGUAUUUUGAUAUAGGAUUAUCAUCCAGUAAACUAGAUGGUGCCUGCAAACGAGUGCGUUUUGGCUACAGUUUAAUAAAAGGAGCAGUAAUAGAAAGCUGGACUGCAGGCAGGGGGUAGCGUGUUUGAGUAGCAGCCCAUGCUGUUCGAUGCAGUAUCGCAGUACAUUAAAGGCAGUUCGUUGCUGUCCAGUUAGUUGGAACAUGCUGCAGUACGAAGUUUGCCUGUUUUGGUGUCCAGUUAAGCUGAAUGUGCUGCAGUUAGCUGUUAUUCCUGUAUUGCUGUCCAGUUUGUGAGAACGUUCUGCUGUAUUCAUACUUGUGUGUAGCACAGUCUUUGGCAGAACAGUACAUGCAGCAGUUUCCUGAUCUGUCCAUUUGAGAUGAUCAUAUCGUAGAUGUUUUAAGUGCAAUUGUUUUUUAUACCAAUUCUCAAAACAGUCUUUACAUACAAGGAAGCUCCAAUAUAAUUUGCCAGACCAUCUAUAACAAAAUGAAUAUUUAUAUUGUUACAUUUUAAUAAAAGUGUUAAAUGCCACAGAAUACUGAACUGAAAUUUAACUAUUAUAUUUAAAAGCUUCUGUUUUGCUUUAUAAUAAUUGACUAAAUUGAACUAGGUUGCUACAAUUGCAAUGAAUGUCACUUAAAUGGCUUCCAAAUGACUGUUUCUAUAUUUCCCCUUAAAGCUUGCCUUGUUACAAAAUUGAGGGUAAGCUUAUAGCUGGAUACAGAGAACAUCAAAUUUAACAUCUCUGAAACGUUAUGUCUGUGGUAUACUGCAGGACCAAGCUAGUUUUGAUUGACUUCAUUAGGGGCUGCUGUGUGUGGCGCAAAUAUCCUUCAAGCAACUUUUUGUGAAAUAAUGGCAAAAGUUCGUCUUGAAUCCUUGUAUGAAUUCAUCAUAAUAAAAAUUUAAUCUGGGCUAAUGGCCUGUGGCAGAUGAA
This is an RNA transcript of Ruditapes philippinarum (Manila clam), 1605 nucleotides long. It is a transcript of the gene named serine/arginine-rich splicing factor 2-like, with no coding region annotated. The record is from RefSeq and is a predicted model, not a curated record. Lineage: Eukaryota; Metazoa; Mollusca; Bivalvia; Venerida; Veneridae. The transcript is spliced from 4 exons.